CUCUCCCCUAAUGGUUCGACUACGAUGUUCCGGUAACUUUAAACCACGCCGGGUGUUGAAAAGGUGGCCAGUUUCAGAUGCAUUGAUGUGUAAUGAUGCAGUGGACAACUGUGAGGAUGAUACAAUCAACAUGUUCCUAAACUGUGAUGCAGAAACACAAUGGGAGGAUCCAUCCGUCUCUGACCACAACUACACUUUAAAAUCACAACUCAACCUGAAGUAACCUACAUCUGAUAUGGGAAAACAAUGGUGCAGUUUCCCUGACAGGGCUUAUCCUGGUCCCAGGCUAAAAUGCAUAUUUGAGCUACAAUAAUUUAAAAACACCUUUUACUGACAUACCUCAACAUAUAUAAGUGCCAUUGUUUUGUCACAAGAUGCGCACCAGUCUUGUUUUUUUGUAAGGUUUGUUUGUAAAAACUAAAAUGUCCUAAUAUAAUUAAAUCCUAGUCCUGUAAACCCUGUCGAGAAACUGCUCCAAUGUGUUGAGCUGGCACAAAUGUACAUAUCUCUGCUGAGAAACAACCAUCUUUGGUUCAGCAUUACAGAGGGUUGAUAUUGCAUUCAUUACACAGUCGCCAAGCACUUUACCAGUACAUACACCAACAGCUUCCAGAUAAACACUUGGGAUCAGCUCCUGAUGACUCCGAUAAAGCUGUGUCUUAAUUUAUUGCAGGGUGGUUUUGCUUUUCCUGUUGUAAAGUUACAUUAAACCUUCAUAUGUGAUCAGAUGUCAUGCAGUGAUAUUAAACAUUUACAGUGUGAUCAGAUGUUGUGCAUUUAUAUUAAACCUUUACAAUGUGAUCAGAUGUUGUGCAAUUACAUUAAACCUUUACAAUGUGA
This is a non-coding RNA of Misgurnus anguillicaudatus (oriental weatherfish), 840 nucleotides long. The record is from RefSeq and is a predicted model, not a curated record. Lineage: Eukaryota; Metazoa; Chordata; Actinopteri; Cypriniformes; Cobitidae.